This 530-nucleotide ribosomal RNA is filed under the name uncultured bacterium. Its description in RNAcentral is "bacterial SSU rRNA". It matches the Rfam family "Bacterial small subunit ribosomal RNA", at positions 355 to 900 of the family's 1533-position model. The record is from RNAcentral.
UGGGGAAUCUUGGACAAUGGGGGCAACCCUGAUCCAGCCAUGCCGCGUGAGUGAUGAAGGCCUUAGGGUCGUAAAGCUCUUUCGCCUGUGAAGAUAAUGACGGUAGCAGGUAAAGAAACCCCGGCUAACUCCGUGCCAGCAGCCGCGGUAAUACGGAGGGGGUUAGCGUUGUUCGGAAUUACUGGGCGUAAAGCGCACGUAGGCGGACCAGAAAGUUGGGGGUGAAAUCCCGGGGGCUCAACCCCGGAACUGCCUCCAAAACUAUUGGUCUAGAGUUCGAGAGAGGUGAGUGGAAUUCCAAGUGUAGAGGUGAAAUUCGUAGAUAUUUGGAGGAACACCAGUGGCGAAGGCGGCUCACUGGCUCGAUACUGACGCUGAGGUGCGAAAGUGUGGGGAGCAAACAGGAUUAGAUACCCUGGGUAGUCCACACCGUAAAACGAUGAAUGCCAGUCGUCGGGUAGCAUGCUAUUCGGUGACACACCUAACGGAUUAAGCAUUCCGCCUGGGGAGUACGGUCGCAAGAUUAAAAC